CCUACGGGUGGCAGCAGUGAGGAAUAUUGGUCAAUGGGCGCGAGCCUGAACCAGCCAAGUAGCGUGAAGGAUGACUGCCCUACGGGUUGUAAACUUCUUUUAUAAAGGGAUAAAGUGAGGCACGUGUGCCUUUUUGUAUGUACUUUAUGAAUAAGGAUCGGCUAACUCCGUGCCAGCAGCCGCGGUAAUACGGAGGAUCCGAGCGUUAUCCGGAUUUAUUGGGUUUAAAGGGAGCGUAGAUGGGUUGUUAAGUCAGUUGUGAAAGUUUGGGGCUCAACCGUAAAAUUGCAAUUGAUACUGGCAGCCUUGAGUACAGUUGAGGUAGGCGGAAUGCGUGGUGUAGCGGUGAAAUGCUUAGAGAUCACGAAGAACUCCGAUUGCGAAGGCAGCUUACGAAACUGCCACUGACAUUGAGGCUCGAAAGUGUGGGGAUCAAACAGGAUUAGAUACCCCUGUAGUC
Molecule: ribosomal RNA, 460 nt
Filed under: uncultured bacterium
Lineage: Bacteria
Description: partial 16S ribosomal RNA
Rfam family: Bacterial small subunit ribosomal RNA
Source: RNAcentral